This 327-nucleotide ribosomal RNA is filed under the name uncultured soil bacterium. RNAcentral's name for it is "bacterial SSU rRNA". It matches the Rfam family "Bacterial small subunit ribosomal RNA", at positions 26 to 338 of the family's 1533-position model. The record is from RNAcentral.
AGGACGAACGCUGGCGGCGUGCUUAACACAUGCAAGUCGAGCGGUAAGGCCCUUUCGGGGGUACACGAGCGGCGAACGGGUGAGUAACACGUGAGCAAUCUGCCCUUCACUUCGGGAUAAGCCUCGGAAACGGGGUCUAAUACCGGAUAUGACUGCGCCAUGCAUGUAGUGUGGUGGAAAUUCUGGCGGUGAGGGAUGAGCUCGCGGCCUAUCCAGUCUUGUUGGUGGGUAAAUCGGACCUACCAAGGUACCGUUUCGAACGGGUAGCCGGCCUGAGGAGGGUCGAACCGGCCACGACGUAGGGACCUAGGAACGACCACCGGACCC